GACCUGGUGGUGAAUGGUUUCACCCACUUUCCUCACGUACUCGUCAACGAAUGGAUGGAGGAGUUCCCGGUUCAACCCCGGGCCAGGUUA
Non-coding RNA from Mycena crocata, 90 nucleotides. NCBI's taxonomy places the organism in Eukaryota, Fungi, Basidiomycota, Agaricomycetes, Agaricales, Mycenaceae. The record is from the annotation of a GenBank genome assembly.